CAAGUAGCUGGGACCACAGACACCUGCUAACAUACCCUGCUAAUGUUUUAAAAAAAUUUUUCUAGAGGUGGCUAUAACUUUUAAUUUUUUUGUUUUUUGAGGUGGAGUCUUGCUCUGUUGCCCAGGCCCACCACGCCAGGCUAAUUUUUCUAUUUUUAAUAGAGACCAGUUUUCACUAUGUAGGCCAGGCUGGUCUUUAACUCCUGACCUCAAGUGGUCCACCCUACUACUCUACAUGCCUGCUCUGUUAUUAACCAAGUUUUCAUAUGAAUACUGGCCCAUUGAAGACUCUCUUCUUUUUCCUUGAUCUAUUUGUUUAUCUCUCUGCUAAUAGUAUGCUGUCCUGAAUGUGAUGGUUUGGAAAUCUUUGGUGUUAGGUAAGCCAUCCACCUGCUAUUCAGAAGGCUUGACAAUUAUUAGAUGUUAAUUCCUGCACACCAGGUGGUGGGAGGUUUGGAAAAGUAGCUUUUGUUGACCUAAAAUGUCUGUUUUGGGGAUUUUUUUUUUUUUUUUUUUUUUUUUUUUUUUUGAGACAGCGUCUCGCUCUGUUGCCCAGGCUGGAGUGCAGUGGCAUGAUCUCAGCUGACUGUAAUCUCCGCUUCCUGGGUUCAAGUGAUUCUUCUGUCUCAGCCUCCCAAAUAGCUGGGACUACAGGCAUGCGCCAUCACGCCUGGCUAAUUUUUUGUAUUUUUAGUAGAGAUGGGGUUUCACCAUGUUGGCCAGGCUGGUCUCAAACUCCUGUCCUCAAGUGAUCCACCUGCCUCGGCCUCCCAAAGUGCUGGGAUUACAGGUGUGAGUCACCACACCCAGCUGUAUUGGGUAUUUAUGAAGUUUUAUAAGGAUAUCAUUUGGAAGAAGGGACAUCUUAUUGAGUUUUUUCUAGGAACACAUGUUAUCUUUCCACUUACUCCAUACUGCUUUGACAUUACCUGACAGAAAUUUUAAAAUUCUUCCAUUAGGACAAUUAAAUAUUGAUCAUGAAUCUUAUUUACUACUUGAUUAAAUUUGGUCUAGAGUAAACUGCUUGCAAGCUUCAGGAUAUUCUCUCUUGGUAUAACCACAUGGGAUGAGCUCAGUUCCCCAGUGGACAAGUUGUGACAACACGUGUGACAUAUUGUCUCCCAGGAAAGCUCAUUAAAGACUCUGUGCCCAGAGUGUUUUUCUGGGGCUAGUGCCCUAGGCACCGCUUCUAGUUUGGAACAAAAGAGUAGGCUUUCAGAAGGAAAACAGUUCAGUCAGUACCAUCCUGUCUGUCAAUACCAUAAACCGUUUAGCCACAGUAAGCCACUUUGUCACUUAAGUUGAUGGGAUCCCUCUCGUAGUCUAAGUUGACCCCGAUAGUAGCAAAGGUCGAACUUGGUGAACAGGCCUUUCUAAGGAUACCCAGACUCAGGACUGCUGAAAUGAGCGCUGUCUGCACACCAGGUGGUGGGAGUUUGUUGUGACAGGUACUAGAGAUCCACUCUGCAAAGAGCAUUUGGGGCAACGCAGCAGCACAACUGACUCCCUGGACCCACCACAGAGAGGGUGGUCCUCCUCUGUGGCUGGCUCUCUGAGUAGGUCAGUUCUCACACUGGAACUGCUGCAAGGGAGGAAGUGCGUGUAGAUAGAGAGGAGGAGGCCGAUGACUCAAUCAUGGAGUGAGUGUUUGGAGAGCCCGGCGUCAUGGGAUCACUCAUGUAUUGAGUAGAGAUCCCCAGUGCUGAGUCUCACCCCUCCUCCUCCACACCUGUGGGAUGUUUCAGGACUCAGUGGCCUUUGAGGAUGUGGCUGUGAACUUCACCCAGGAGGAGUGGGCUUUGCUGAGUCCUUCCCAGAAGAAUCUCUACAGAGAUGUGACGCUGGAAACCUUCAGGAACCUGACCUCAGAAUCCAAUGGAAAGACCAGGACAUUGAGAAUCUGUACCAAAAUCUGGGGAUUAAGCUAAGAAGUCUGGUGGAGAGGCUCUGUGGACGUAAAGAAGGGAAUGAACACAGAGAAACUUUCAGCCAGAUUCCUGAUUGUCACCUGAACAAGAAAAGUCAUACUGGAGUGAAACCAUGCAAAUGCAGCGUGUGUGGGAAAGUCUUCCUCCGUCAUUCAUUCCUGGACAGGCACCUGAGAGCUCAUGCUGGACACAAACGAUCUGAGUGUGGUGGGGAAUGGAGAGAGACGCCCCGUAAACAGAAACAACAUGGGAAAGCCUCCAUUUCCCCCAGUAGUGGUGCACGGCGCACAGUAACACCAACUCGAAAGAGACCUUAUGAAUGCAAGGUGUGCGGGAAAGCCUUUAAUUCUCCCAAUUUAUUUCAAAUCCAUCAAAGAACUCACACUGGAAAGAGGUCCUAUAAAUGUAGGGAAAUAGUGAGAGCCUUCACGGUUUCCAGUUUCUUUCGAAAACAUGGAAAAAUGCAUACUGGAGAAAAACGCUAUGAAUGUAAAUACUGUGGAAAACCUAUCGAUUAUCCCAGUUUAUUUCAAAUUCAUGUUAGAACUCACACUGGAGAAAAACCUUACAAAUGUAAACAAUGUGCUAAAGCCUUCAUUUCCGCAGGUUACCUUCGGACACAUGAAAUCAGAUCUCACGCGCUGGAGAAAUCCCACCAAUGUCAGGAAUGUGGGAAAAAACUCAGUUGUUCCAGUUCCCUUCACAGACAUGAAAGAACUCAUAGUGGAGGAAAACUCUAUGAAUGUCAAAAAUGUGCCAAAGUCUUUAGAUGUCCCACGUCCCUUCAAGCACAUGAAAGAGCUCACACUGGAGAAAGACCUUAUGAAUGUAAUAAAUGUGGUAAAACCUUCAA
Molecule: small RNA, 2781 nt
Filed under: Pan troglodytes (chimpanzee)
Lineage: Eukaryota; Metazoa; Chordata; Mammalia; Primates; Hominidae
Description: retained intron
Source: RNAcentral